UGGGGAAUCUUGGACAAUGGGGGCAACCCUGAUCCAGCGACGCCGCGUGGGUGAAGAAGGUCUCCCUCUUCGGAGGGGAUUUGACGGUACCUUAUGAAUAAGGACCGGCUAACUCCGUGCCAGCAGCCGCGGUAAUACGGAGGGUCCAAGCGUUGUCCGAAAUUACUGGGUGUAAAGGGUGUGCAGGCGGAGCGGAAAGUCAGAGGUGAAAGCCCGCAGCUUAACUGUGGAAUUGCCUUUGAUACUACCGCUCUUGAGUCCCGGAGAAGCUGUCGGAAUUCGUGGUGUAGCGGUGAAAUGCGUAGAUAUCACGAGGAACACCAGAAGCGUAAGCGGACAGCUGGACGGUGACUGACGCUCAGGCACGAAAGCGUGGGGAGCAAACAGGAUUAGAUACCCCGGUAGUCC
Molecule: ribosomal RNA, 408 nt
Filed under: uncultured prokaryote
Description: bacterial SSU rRNA
Rfam family: Bacterial small subunit ribosomal RNA
Source: RNAcentral